Molecule: long non-coding RNA, 1289 nt
Organism: Homo sapiens (human)
Lineage: Eukaryota; Metazoa; Chordata; Mammalia; Primates; Hominidae
Product: long intergenic non-protein coding RNA 343
Source: Ensembl
AGUGAAUUCUACAAAGAGGCUAUGGGAAAGAAACCUGGAAAGGUAGGGAGGUAUGGAUAUGGACAAGCUAUGCCAAGGAGCAGGGCUUUGUCAUGGAGAGUGACUAGGUGCUUUUACAUAGGAAAGUCACCUGAUAAUAUUAAAACCUGUGAAAUAUCACUCUGGUGGAAGUGUGAAUGAAUUUGAAAGGGGUGUAACACUGUUCUACUUUGUUUACUCCUCAGUACCCUUGGCUGUGUACAUUUGAGUAAAGAGAGCACUAUAAAAUCAAAAACCAAUGAAAUGGUUUCCAGAACACAGAACUAUUAAGCUUAAGAAAAGGACAGAAGGAACUGAAGAGAGAGGAACUGUUUUGGAGCAUCACACUUCCACCUCAGAAGAAAUAAGGAAGGAAGGAGGAGGGUGUUCCCACGGCUCUUCAACCAGGCCGGCUCUUCAGCCUACAUCCCCAUCUCAUCAAGUAAAAGGGAUUUUUCAACUGGACCAACCAGAUGGUUUAACAGUGCACUCCCACACCAUUCAACUACGCAAGGGAGAUACACUUAACAUAUGCAGUCGUAUAACACCUACUAACAUUUUCAAACAUUAAACCUUUAAAAAAGAGUUCUAAAGAAAUAGAAGCUUGAAGUAUCAUCUCUCAAGUAUAUAGACACUACUUCAUGGUGUGGUAAUAUAUGCAUAUAGAAGCUAGUAAACACCUCCAGGAGAUGCAAAAGGAAUUAGAACUGCCACAAGGUGCAAGCAAAACCUUGAGUUCUGUUUUUCCUCUUCUAAUCCUUCACCCAUCUGAGCUAAAGUCUAGACCUAAGGAGGCUACUAAUUCAGGGAUCGAGUAAUCUGCCAAGCAAGAGUUUAUUCAAGCACAGUUUGAAAUAAAGGUUUCAAAUGCAUAGCCUGUCGAUACUUUGGAAGGAUUCUCAUCAUAACGAGUAUGCAAUUUGCUAUAAAGAAGAAUGCCCAUUACGGACUAAAUGUUUAUGUCCUCCUAAAAUUCAUAUGUUGAAGGCCUAACUCUCAAUGUGAUGAUUAUGUGGAGAUGGUGCCUUUGGGAGGUAACUGGGCUUAGAUGUGGGCGUGAGGGUGGGGCCUCAUGGUGAAAUUUGUGCCCUUGUAAGAAAAACACACCACAGGUUUUCAUUCUUCCUCUGCCACAUGAGGCCACAGUAAGAAUGUGACCAUCUGCUAGCCAGGAGGAAAGUCCUCACUGGAACCCGCCCAUAAUAACACUCCAGUCUGGGGCUUUUCAGCCUCCAGAACCAUGAGAAAUAAAUUUCUAGUGUUUAAGUCAC